Molecule: transfer RNA, 71 nt
Filed under: Afipia sp. Root123D2
Lineage: Bacteria; Pseudomonadati; Pseudomonadota; Alphaproteobacteria; Hyphomicrobiales; Nitrobacteraceae
Rfam family: tRNA
About the family: Transfer RNA (tRNA) molecules are approximately 80 nucleotides in length.
Source: Rfam by way of RNAcentral
GCGGAUGUAGCUUGACGGUCGAGCAUUGGUCUUCCAGGCCGAAGGUGUAGGUUCAAUUCCUGCCAUCCGCU